This 554-nucleotide ribosomal RNA is filed under the name uncultured beta proteobacterium. RNAcentral's name for it is "SSU rRNA". It matches the Rfam family "Bacterial small subunit ribosomal RNA", at positions 368 to 915 of the family's 1533-position model. The record is from RNAcentral. Lineage: Bacteria; Pseudomonadati; Pseudomonadota; Betaproteobacteria.
ACAAUGGGGGCAUCCAUGAUCCAGCAAUGCCGAGAGUGUGAAGAAGGCCUUCGGGUUGUAAAGCACUUUUGUCCGGAAAGAAAUCGCACUUACUAAUAUUAGGUGUGGAUGACGGUACCGGAAGAAUAAGGACCGGCUAACUACGUGCCAGCAGCCGCGGUAAUACGUAGGGUCCAAGCGUUAAUCGGAAUUACUGGGCGUAAAGCGUGCGCAGGCGGUUGUGCAAGACCGAUGUGAAAUCCCCGGGCUUAACCUGGGAAUUGCAUUGGUGACUGCACGGCUAGAGUGUGUCAGAGGGGGGUAGAAUUCCACGUGUAGCAGUGAAAUGCGUAGAGAUGUGGAGGAAUACCGAUGGCGAAGGCAGCCCCCUGGGAUAACACUGACGCUCAUGCACGAAAGCGUGGGGAGCAAACAGGAUUAGAUACCCUGGUAGUCCACGCCCUAAACGAUGUCAACUAGUUGUUGGGGAUUCAUUUCCUUAGUAACGUAGCUAACGCGUGAAGUUGACCGCCUGGGGAGUACGGUCGCAAGAUUAAAACUCAAAGGAAUUGACG